RNAcentral lists this unclassified non-coding RNA (402 nucleotides) under plant metagenome. RNAcentral describes it as "partial contains 5.8S ribosomal RNA, internal transcribed spacer 2, and large subunit ribosomal RNA". It matches the Rfam family "Bacterial small subunit ribosomal RNA", at positions 358 to 777 of the family's 1533-position model. The record is from RNAcentral.
GGAAUAUUGGACAAUGGGCGAAAGCCUGAUCCAGCAAUGCCGCGUGAGUGAUGAAGGCCUUAGGGUUGUAAAGCUCUUUUACCCGGGAUGAUAAUGACAGUACCGGGAGAAUAAGCUCCGGCUAACUCCGUGCCAGCAGCCGCGGUAAUACGGAGGGAGCUAGCGUUAUUCGGAAUUACUGGGCGUAAAGCGCACGUAGGCGGCUUUGUAAGUUAGAGGUGAAAGCCUGGAGCUCAACUCCAGAAUUGCCUUUAAGACUGCAUCGCUUGAAUCCAGGAGAGGUGAGUGGAAUUCCGAGUGUAGAGGUGAAAUUCGUAGAUAUUCGGAAGAACACCAGUGGCGAAGGCGGCUCACUGGACUGGUAUUGACGCUGAGGUGCGAAAGCGUGGGGAGCAAACAGGA